RNAcentral lists this transfer RNA (70 nucleotides) under Moniezia benedeni. RNAcentral describes it as "tRNA-His". Lineage: Eukaryota; Metazoa; Platyhelminthes; Cestoda; Cyclophyllidea; Anoplocephalidae. The record is from RNAcentral.
UUAUUGGUAGGUUAUCUUUAAACUGGUAGAUUGUGGUUCUGCAGAAUGUGUUUAUUUGCACACUUAUAAU